Mugil cephalus (flathead mullet) is the source of this 1111-nucleotide long non-coding RNA. RefSeq lists it as uncharacterized. The record is from RefSeq and is a predicted model, not a curated record. The transcript has 3 exons. Lineage: Eukaryota; Metazoa; Chordata; Actinopteri; Mugiliformes; Mugilidae.
AAUGCAUAUUUUAUAUUUACAUAAAUAAAUAAACAAAUUGCGAUAAUUGACCUAAUGGCUUCCUGUAGUUACGCUUGACUUAUGGGAAGUUAGUCCGACAUUAGACGUUUGCUAAUUUGUUAAUAUUUCCCAGAAAUGAGUCGACAAAAACUUCUGAAAGCUUUCCCGUUUUCUUGGAGAAAAAAAAUCACCAAACUUAUUUUAUUUUCUAGCCUUACCAAAUAACUCGAGUCGAUAUAGCGUGUACCCACCGUUAAGCUAACUUCCGGUCGCAACGUUUAAAACGUAGCCGCACCGUUUUCCUCUGUAAGGUGAAUUUUGUUCACUGUUACACAACAUUAAACGCGAAUACAAAUAUUUAAAGGCUUUGGAAUCAAAGUAAACAUCGCGUUGGGGGUAUUUCUUAUUAUUUAUGUGAUCUUGGACGCCUGAAACCGACGCCCAGUCAUCGUUUCAUCUGCGAAAAUGAUGGAUGGAUACUUGCCAUGCAGAUGCUGACAUCUUUGGAGAUGAUUGAUUCACCCCGUCUGGCCAGAGAGGAGUGGAGAGGAGAGCAGAGCUGGAUCCUCCCCGGGGUUGCAGCUUCCUGCCGCCCUGCCAUGGCUCCGCCACAGUGUAACUUCACCGGCGAUGGAGCCCCCCGGCCCUCCCCCUCAUCAGUCCCCCGUCUCUUGUCUGCUGCAAGCUGCUGCAAUCAGCACAGGCCCUGAUUGGACUUGGGCAGGACAGAUUGGGAAGCCGUGAUGGCGGCACAGAAGUUGAGGGAGAAGCUAUUUAUCCCAGACGGAUCAGGAGGUGUGUGACGGAGGUGUGGACGGUUGCUGCAGGUCAGUGACGUUGGCAGGCGCCAGGCAGGCCGGCCCACAUGGCUCGGGGACUGUGGGACUACAGACAGAUGGCACCUGGUGGGUGACAAACAAUUAACAAACCAACAAGAAUAGCUGGAUCGGCAGUAUACCCACAAGCACAGGAGAUAGCAAGAGAGCGGGUGCAUCUGUGCUCCGAACACUUUUACUCUUUACUUUUCCUCUUCCCAAGUCUUGUUUUGUGUAACAGUUGCAAUUUACCCAUGUGUCUUUUUCACAAAAACAGUCUUGUUGUCGUGUCGCUA